Long non-coding RNA from Ursus maritimus (polar bear), 1587 nucleotides. Lineage: Eukaryota; Metazoa; Chordata; Mammalia; Carnivora; Ursidae. The record is from Ensembl.
AUGCCGUUUUUCUUCUUUGUUGUGGCAGCUUUGGAUGCCAUUACCAGGAGAGAUCAUAUCUAUAUAUUUGGAGAGGAUUUGGAGCUAUUCCUUAAAUUCCUGAUUUUUAAGGAAAGCUCCGUAGCUGUUGUCGGAUCACUGGGAGUGCGCCUCCGCUCAGCUAUGGACUACUACACAGAGGAGGACACCAAGGCUCUGCGGCUUGUUACGGUCAGGACAGCACUGGCCCCCUGCUCGGGGGCUGUGAACCAGGAGCCAGCCUCCCAACACGUGGCCCCUGCUAACCCACAGGAACACCUUGGGCCUUCCUGCCUUUGAGCCCUUGUGUGGCCAUUUUCCUGCUAGCAAUGCCCUUACCCAACCUUUCUGCUCAUUUAAAUCCCCCUGGUCGUUCGCAGUCCGGCUCGUGCCCCUCCGCCCCCUGAAAGCCUUCCAGCACCAGGAGAGAACAAGCCUAACUACCGUGUUGUACGCGGAAGAACACCACGGAGCUCCACAGCUGUGGCAGAGGCCGCUAUUUGUCCCUCAACAUUCAUUCUGCCCUUCCUCCUCAGGAAUGGAACCCCUGAAUUUUAGUGGGGUACGUGGCUGCCUAGACAAAAGCCUGUUUCCCAGGCUCCAUGUGGUUAGAGGUAGUCAAGUUUUAGCCGACGGAGUAUAAGCAGAGUGGCAUUUAUGACUCUGGGCAAGUAUUGCUAUUUGUUUUUCUGAUCUCCUUUCCUACUUCCUGCCAGCUGGAAUGUGAACACGAUGUCUGGAGCUCGAGCAGCCUUCUUAGACCUUAAAGGUGGAUACCACACGUAAGGAUGGCACGGCAUCAUGACCAAAGUAACUCGAGAACCUGAUGGUCCUUGUGCUGCAUCACCAUCCCUGCGCUUAACUUCCACGCUUCAUUUACCUGAAGCAGGAAUCAGUUUCCAUCUUGUUUAGGCCAUUGCUGUUUGGGAUGCCAUACCACCAUCGCCAGACACAGUCCUGCCUGGUACCAAAACCACCACCACCUGAGUGCUUCUGAGCACUCACUUUGUGCCAAGCACAGGACAAGUCAGGAUUUUUUAAGCUGGCUUUUCCACCUAGUUUUCACAGCCACCUUGAAGCUGGGUGCUAAUACUAAUUAAUUAAUUUGAGCUUCAGCUCCCAAAUGAGUUUUGUUCAUUCCACAUCGUUUCUUGGUUCCUGCUACAUGGUAGACACUGGGCAAGGCCUUGAGGAUUCAGCAGUAAGAUGAACUCCUUGUCUUCCAAACCUUGACAGUCUAGUGGGGAAAACAAGCAGAUGGAAAUAACAGUGCGACGUGAUGGUAAUAAUACUGUAUCAUCAUUUUAAGAUGCCAUCAAUUGUAAGAUACACUGUUUUUUAUGUACCAUCAAGAAAAAUAAUACUGCCGUGAAACUGAGACAUACUGUCUUAAUAAUAGUCCCAUGUGCCACAUGAACCAGUCACACCAACCUCUCAUUACUUUGAAAUUGUUUAUUAUCUACCCUAAGGGAUUUCACGAUUUCUCCAGGCUCCAGUUGCCUUGCUUUCUAUGUGACAGUCCAUCUUCUAGACAUAUCUCAGUAAUAAACUAUAGCCCAGCUUGAGCCA